AGCGAACGCUGGCGGCAGGCCUAACACAUGCAAGUCGAACGGAUCCUUCGGGAUUAGUGGCGGACGGGUGAGUAACACGUGGGAACGUGCCCUUUGGUUCGGAACAACUCAGGGAAACUUGAGCUAAUACCGGAUGUGCCCUUCGGGGGAAAGAUUUAUCGCCAUUGGAGCGGCCCGCGUCUGAUUAGCUAGUUGGUGAGGUGACGGCCCACCAAGGCGACGAUCAGUAGCUGGUCUGAGAGGAUGAUCAGCCACACUGGGACUGAGACACGGCCCAGACUCCUACGGGAGGCAGCAGUGGGGAAUCUUGCGCAAUGGGCGAAAGCCUGACGCAGCCAUGCCGCGUGAAUGAUGAAGGUCUUAGGAUUGUAAAAUUCUUUCAGCGGGGACGAUAAUGACGGUACCCGCAGAAGAAGCUCCGGCUAACUUCGUG
Molecule: ribosomal RNA, 433 nt
Filed under: uncultured bacterium
Lineage: Bacteria
Description: partial 16S ribosomal RNA
Rfam family: Bacterial small subunit ribosomal RNA
Source: RNAcentral